Molecule: transfer RNA, 68 nt
Filed under: Cucumaria miniata
Lineage: Eukaryota; Metazoa; Echinodermata; Holothuroidea; Dendrochirotida; Cucumariidae
Description: tRNA-Cys
Source: RNAcentral
GGUUCUAAGGUGUAUUUUACAUAUUUAAUUGCAAAUUAAAAGUUACUAAAAAAAUUUAGUUAGAACUU